CCUACGGGAGGCAGCAGUGAGGAAUAUUGGUCAAUGGGCGCGAGCCUGAACCAGCCAAGUAGCGUGAAGGAUGACUGCCCUACGGGUUGUAAACUUCUUUUAUCAAGGAAUAAAGUGAGUCACGUGAGCAUUUUUGUAUGUACCUUAUGAAUAAGGAUCGGCUAAAUCCGUGCCAGCAGCCCCGGUAAUACGGAGGAUCCGAGCGUUAUCCGGAUUUGUUGGGUUUAAAGGGAACGUAGCUGGGUUGAUAAGUCAGGUGUGAAAGUGUGCGGCUCAACCGUAGAAGUGCAAUUGAUACUGGCAGCCUUGAGUACAGUAGAGGUAGGCGGAAUUCGUGGUGUAGCGGUGAAAUGCUUAGAUAGCACGAAGAACUCCGAUUGCGAAGGCAGCUUACUGGCCUGCAACUGACGCUGAGGCUCGAAAGUGUGGGUAUCGAACAGGAUUAGAUACCCCUGUAGUC
This 460-nucleotide ribosomal RNA is filed under the name uncultured bacterium. Its description in RNAcentral is "partial 16S ribosomal RNA". It matches the Rfam family "Bacterial small subunit ribosomal RNA", at positions 338 to 795 of the family's 1533-position model. The record is from RNAcentral.